UACGUAGGUGGCAAGCGUUGUCCGGAUUUACUGGGCGUAAAGAGCGCGCAGGCGGUCGUUCAAGUCGCGUGUGAAAGCCCCCGGCUCAACUGGGGAGGGUCACGCGAUACUGCUCGACUUGAAGGCAGGAGAGGGAAGUGGAAUUCCCGGUGUAGUGGUGAAAUGCGUAGAUAUCGGGAGGAACACCAGUGGCGAAGGCGGCUUCCUGGCCUGUUCUUGACGCUGAGGCGCGAAAGCUAGGGGAGCAAACGGG
This 253-nucleotide ribosomal RNA is filed under the name uncultured bacterium. RNAcentral's name for it is "partial 16S ribosomal RNA". It matches the Rfam family "Bacterial small subunit ribosomal RNA", at positions 524 to 776 of the family's 1533-position model. The record is from RNAcentral.